This 504-nucleotide unclassified non-coding RNA is filed under the name Cladosporium sp. 2A-1. RNAcentral describes it as "sequence contains ITS1, 5.8S rRNA gene and ITS2". The stretch from base 154 to 307 matches the Rfam family "5.8S ribosomal RNA". Lineage: Eukaryota; Fungi; Ascomycota; Dothideomycetes; Cladosporiales; Cladosporiaceae. The record is from RNAcentral.
GUGACCCCGGUCUAACCACCGGGAUGUUCAUAACCCUUUGUUGUCCGACUCUGUUGCCUCCGGGGCGACCCUGCCUUCGGGCGGGGGCUCCGGGUGGACACUUCAAACUCUUGCGUAACUUUGCAGUCUGAGUAAACUUAAUUAAUAAAUUAAAACUUUUAACAACGGAUCUCUUGGUUCUGGCAUCGAUGAAGAACGCAGCGAAAUGCGAUAAGUAAUGUGAAUUGCAGAAUUCAGUGAAUCAUCGAAUCUUUGAACGCACAUUGCGCCCCCUGGUAUUCCGGGGGGCAUGCCUGUUCGAGCGUCAUUUCACCACUCAAGCCUCGCUUGGUAUUGGGCAACGCGGUCCGCCGCGUGCCUCAAAUCGACCGGCUGGGUCUUCUGUCCCCUAAGCGUUGUGGAAACUAUUCGCUAAAGGGUGUUCGGGAGGCUACGCCGUAAAACAACCCCAUUUCUAAGGUUGACCUCGGAUCAGGUAGGGAUACCCGCUGAACUUAAGCAUAU